Molecule: long non-coding RNA, 242 nt
Filed under: Elaeis guineensis (African oil palm)
Lineage: Eukaryota; Viridiplantae; Streptophyta; Magnoliopsida; Arecales; Arecaceae
Description: long non-coding RNA (EGUI_LNC032650)
Source: RNAcentral
ACCCUCUUUUUCUUCUUGUCCUCCUCCUCCUCUAAUCCAUUCUUUACCGACGUCCCUUCUCGUCUUCCUCCUCAUCCAUUUUUUGAGAGUGUUUGGUGACCAAACUAGAAUUAUCAUGAUAAUCUAAGAUCACUGGUGAUCCAAAUCCUAGAGGUGAUUUGAUCCCUAGUGAUUUAAGAUCACUAUGUUUGGUCGAUCGUAGUACAGUGAUUAAAGAUCUCUGGAUAUGUAUAAAUAACUGG